RNAcentral lists this ribosomal RNA (17 nucleotides) under Saccharomyces cerevisiae (brewer's yeast). Its description in RNAcentral is "partial 28S ribosomal RNA". The record is from RNAcentral. Lineage: Eukaryota; Fungi; Ascomycota; Saccharomycetes; Saccharomycetales; Saccharomycetaceae.
ACCCGCUGACCUAAGCA